GGAUUGCUCACGUUACUUCAGCCAAUCAGAGAACUGUGCAUGAGUGGAUUGCUUAUCAUGUAGCCCCCCUCCCUCACCAGGCCUUUCAAAAUACUUUGCUGAAACCUUCUGGGGAGUUGGGGGUUUGGGGGGCAAGAAAGAAAGUGAAGUCGCUCAGUGGUGUCCGACUCUUUGCGACCCCGUGGACUGUAGCCUACCAGGCUUCUCCAUCCAUAGGAUUCUCCAGGCAAGAAUACUGGAGUGGGUUACUGUUUCCUUCUCCAGAGGAUCUUCCUGACCCAAGGAUUGAACCCAGGUCUCCUGCAUUGGAGGCAGACACUUUAACCACUGAGCCACCAGGGAGCGACCCAUUUUCCUUGCAUGGCCUGCAGUAAGCCUUUCUCUGUUCCAAACACCAACAUUUCAGUACUGUUUGGCCUCACUGUGCCAUCAGGCACAAGGACUUGGCCUUUGGGAACAAGAGAAACAGAGGCCUGAGCCCCUUUCCAGAAGAUUUCCCAGCUGAGCUGAUUGGCUGUGGCAUUAGUCCAGGUAACCAAGUACCCUUUCCACGCAGAAGCAGCAGACCCAGAGUCAUAGCCAAGCACAAGCACAUACGUCUUUCACAGAGCACUGCGCUCUCUCAGGGCCGAGUCUCACCUUGGAGGUUGAUGAUGCUCCGAAGUCACGGGGAGCUGGAGCCCAUCUCCACCGACAGCCGUCUGGCUUUUGGAUUCCAGUCACAUUCUUCACCAGCCGAAGGGAGUGCUCAAGGCCCUUCUGUCCAUGGGAUUCUCCAGGCAAGACUACUGAAGUGGAUUGCCAUGUCCUCCUCCAGGGAUCUUCCUGACCCAGGGAUCGAACCCACACCUUUUAUGUCUCCUGCAUUGACAGAGAUAUGUAGCCUCACUUGUCUGGCAUCUUAUCCAAGAAGACUUCCUUUUCUCUGGUUCCCUGUGGAAUGCAUAUUAAGCCAUUGGAGAGAGAAGAGUGGACAAAUGUGGCAGGACAGAGGCAUGAGAGAGAAGCAGAGGAAACCCAUUCUAAUUCUAUACAUUCAUCAACCUUAUGCAUUAUUCAUAAAAACGACUGGACAACUGAGGAUCACCAGACAUUGGAUAAACACAAACAGUGUGAAAGAGAAGAACCAAGUGAACUAGAAGAAUGAUUGGAAACAGAGAUAAUUCAGAGAACAGAAGAAAACAUUAAAUCCAUCCUAAUUAGCAUCCUCUGGCUUCCCAGGUAGCUCAGUGGUAAAGAAUCUGCCUGCAGUGCAGGAGAUGAGGGUUUGAUUCUUGGACUGGGAAGAUCACCUGGAAAAGGAAAUGGCAGCCUACUCCAGUAUUCUUGCCUCGGAAAUCCCAUGGACAGAGG
Long non-coding RNA from Bos taurus (domestic cattle), 1353 nucleotides. The record is from Ensembl. NCBI's taxonomy places the organism in Eukaryota, Metazoa, Chordata, Mammalia, Artiodactyla, Bovidae.